RNAcentral lists this ribosomal RNA (622 nucleotides) under Trichoderma sp. HYKH1/A2. RNAcentral's name for it is "eukaryotic LSU rRNA". The stretch from base 234 to 387 matches the Rfam family "5.8S ribosomal RNA". Lineage: Eukaryota; Fungi; Ascomycota; Sordariomycetes; Hypocreales; Hypocreaceae. RNAcentral also lists the same sequence under 1 other name. The record is from RNAcentral.
UCCGUAGGUGAACCUGCGGAGGGAUCAUUACCGAGUUUACAACUCCCAAACCCAAUGUGAACGUUACCAAACUGUUGCCUCGGCGGGAUCUCUGCCCCGGGUGCGUCGCAGCCCCGGACCAAGGCGCCCGCCGGAGGACCAACCUAAAACUCUUAUUGUAUACCCCCUCGCGGGUUUUUUUUAUAAUCUGAGCCUUCUCGGCGCCUCUCGUAGGCGUUUCGAAAAUGAAUCAAAACUUUCAACAACGGAUCUCUUGGUUCUGGCAUCGAUGAAGAACGCAGCGAAAUGCGAUAAGUAAUGUGAAUUGCAGAAUUCAGUGAAUCAUCGAAUCUUUGAACGCACAUUGCGCCCGCCAGUAUUCUGGCGGGCAUGCCUGUCCGAGCGUCAUUUCAACCCUCGAACCCCUCCGGGGGGUCGGCGUUGGGGAUCGGCCCUCCCUUAGCGGGUGGCCGUCUCCGAAAUACAGUGGCGGUCUCGCCGCAGCCUCUCCUGCGCAGUAGUUUGCACACUCGCAUCGGGAGCGCGGCGCGUCCACAGCCGUUAAACACCCAACUUCUGAAAUGUUGACCUCGGAUCAGGUAGGAAUACCCGCUGAACUUAAGCAUAUCAAUAAGCGGAGGAA